GCUUUUGGUUCAGUGGUAGAAUGCCACGCGGGUGCCCCGGGUUCGAAUCCCGGCCGAUGCA
RNAcentral lists this transfer RNA (61 nucleotides) under Cordylochernes scorpioides. RNAcentral describes it as "tRNA-Ser". The record is from RNAcentral. Lineage: Eukaryota; Metazoa; Arthropoda; Arachnida; Pseudoscorpiones; Chernetidae.